UAAAGAAAGCGUAAUAGCUCACUAGUCUAAAUAAGUUUUCUUGCGCCAACAAUGUAACGGGGCUCAAGUCAUGUACCGAAGAUGCGGAUUUAUGCAUUUGGCAUAAAUGGUAGCGGAGCGUUCCGUAAGCCUGUGAAGGUAAACCGUAAGGUUUGCUGGAGGUAUCGGAAGUGAGAAUGCUGACAUAAGUAGCGAUAAAGAAUGUGAGAAACAUUCUCGCCGAAAGUCCAAGGGUUCUUGCGUAAAGUUAAUCUGCACAAGGUUAGUCGGCUCCUAAGAUGAGGCUGAAAGGCGUAAUCGAUGGGAAUCAGGUUAAUAUUCCUGAACCUGAAGGAUGUGACGAAAAUAGUAAAUUGUACAGUCUUAUUGGAUUGAUUGUGCAGUGAAUAUUUUCCAGGAAAUAACACCUUCAUUAUAGACCGUACCCGAAACCGACACAGGUGGUCAGGUAGAGCAUACCAAGG
Molecule: ribosomal RNA, 464 nt
Filed under: Ochromonas sp. CCMP1393
Lineage: Eukaryota; Chrysophyceae; Chromulinales; Chromulinaceae
Description: partial Bacterial large subunit ribosomal RNA
Rfam family: Bacterial large subunit ribosomal RNA
Source: RNAcentral